Molecule: RNase P RNA, 283 nt
Filed under: Nitrososphaerota archaeon
Lineage: Archaea; Thermoproteati; Nitrososphaerota
Also listed under: 1 other name
Description: Archaeal RNase P
Rfam family: Archaeal RNase P
About the family: Ribonuclease P (RNase P) is a ubiquitous endoribonuclease, found in archaea, bacteria and eukarya as well as chloroplasts and mitochondria. Its best characterised activity is the generation of mature 5'-ends of tRNAs by cleaving the 5'-leader elements of precursor-tRNAs. Cellular RNase Ps are ribonucleoproteins.
Source: Rfam by way of RNAcentral
GUGAGUCGGUGUGUAGGUAUCGGUAAUACUGAGGAAACUCCUCUCUCCUAUCAGGAAUAUGAUGUUGAGAAACAUAUCUAGAGAUAGAUGGCAACGGAGCAGAAACGAUAUCCAGACCUGUUAAUACAAUGAUGAUGAAAAUCUGAGGUUCCAGGAUUAGGAAUGAAACGGUCGUCCCAUAUGGAGCAAGGCCAAAUAGAGUUUAUGAUUGCCUGAUUGAGACUCAGGUAGGCCGCUAAGCUGAAUCCUACUUAAAACAGAAAGAGGGUUACAACCGAGACGC